UAAGGAAUCAUUAAGGGCGUAUGGAGGAUGCCUUGACAUCAAAAGGCGAUGAAGGUCGUGGCGUGACUGCGAUAAGCCUCGGGGAGCCGUCUAGCGGGCUUUGAUCCGGGGAUGACCGAAUGGGGGAACCCAAUCAGAGUAAUAUCUGAUUAUUCCGACGCAAGUCGGGAUGCGUACCUGGCGAAGUGAAACAUCUCAGUAGCCAGAGGAAAAUAAAACAAAUGUGCCGCAAGGCGCAAACAUACCCUAAGUAGCGGCGAGCGAAAGGGGCACAGCCUAAACCCUUCUGAAUUUUACUUUGUAAAACUUGAAAGGGGGUUGAAGGAGCGAUACUUUCUUAAACAUGACUUAGUCCGCCCUCGGGCGGGUUGAGUCGUGUUAUAAGAAGAGAGUUACAAAUUCCAUUGUUAGCCGAACGGUCCUGGAAAGGCCGGUCAUAGCGGGUGAUAGCCCCGUAGGCGAAAACGGUGGAACUCUUGUGUCGGAGGUCGCAAGACCUCAAUCCUGAGUACCCAUGGAGCAGACUAUCCGUGGCGAAUCCGGGCCUACUACGGUCCAAGGCUAAAUACUUUUGGUGAUCGAUAGUGAACCAGUACCGUGAGGGAAAGGUGAAAAGAACCCCGGUGAGGGGAGUGAAAUAGAACUGAAACCAUAUGCCUACAAAGAGCCGGAGUCCUUCGGAUCGCAAGAUCCUCGGGAUGACGGUGUGCCUAUUGAAGAAUGAUCCAACGAGUUUUUACAAGCGGUAGGGUAAGCCCGAGAGGGCGGACCCACAGGGAAACCGAGUGUUAAAAGCGCGAUCUUACCCGCUCAAAUUUUUGGACUUGAGUUUGGCUGGCCAUUGCUUUCUUUCACCAUUUGUCCGCCCAGCGAGCGGACUGCAUUCCGUUGAAAGCGUGGAUUCGCCUCGCAGCGAUGAAAUAUUAUACUGCUCGGCGACCAUGCAAUCCACCCUUUCAACGGUGCUAUAAAUCAAUGGCCAACCAAACUCUAAAUAAAAAAGGAGGGCGACUGCUCGCCCCCCGCGUUCCCAAUCCU
This 1038-nucleotide ribosomal RNA is filed under the name Candidatus Woesebacteria bacterium. Its description in RNAcentral is "partial 23S ribosomal RNA". It matches the Rfam family "Bacterial large subunit ribosomal RNA", at positions 1 to 856 of the family's 2925-position model. The record is from RNAcentral. Lineage: Bacteria; Candidatus Woeseibacteriota.